GACGAACGCUGGCGGCGUGCUUAACACAUGCAAGUCGAACGAAGUGGCGAACGGGUGAGUAACGCGUAAUAAACCUGCCCUUCAGAGGGGGACACCAGUUGGAAACGACUGCUAAUACCGCAUACUGAAGGAGGGGACUGCGUCUGCUUAGCUCGUAGGAGGGGUAACGGCCCAACAAGGCGAUGAUCAGUAGCCGGUCGGAGAGGGUGAACGGCCACAUGGGGACUGGGACACGGCCCAGAAUCCUACGGGGGGCAGCAGUGGGGAAUCUUCCGCAAUGGACGAAAGGCUGACGGAGCAACGCCGCGGGAGUGAUGACGGCCUUCGGGUUGUAAAGCUCUGUUAAUCGGGACGCGGUACCGGAAUAGAAAGCCACGGCUAACUACGUGCCAGCAGCCGCGGUAAUAC
This 408-nucleotide ribosomal RNA is filed under the name uncultured bacterium. Its description in RNAcentral is "partial 16S ribosomal RNA". It matches the Rfam family "Bacterial small subunit ribosomal RNA", at positions 28 to 526 of the family's 1533-position model. The record is from RNAcentral.